CCUCCCCCAUAGCAACCAGACACCUUAGCAACCAAUGUGUCUCACGCGCGUACACCAGCCUCUUCCUACUACGCUCUUGCGCGCGGGAGCAAACCAUUCCUUCCGACUGACGGGGGAGCCUGUAGGACCGAACCAUUUCCGCGGCGGGGGUGCAGCUGUGUGUGAGUUGCGUGCAUCAGCUGCUGUGUCCAACGAGGUCGUCGUUUCGGAAACAGAGAGCUGGCGUACGGAUAAAACAGGCCUGCUUUUGAGCAGCCUGUUUUUGCAAAACCUAACUAACAUGGUGUGAGAAAACCAAAAUGCAGCCCUACCCCACCUAUCUCUCCAGCCACCACAUCACUCAACUGGUCCAUCACACCAGGGGCCUAGCAAGUGCUCUCAAGCUGGCUGAGAGUCACAUCUGCCUGUGAAAUUGGGAUGCAGGACCCUCUGGCUUCCCCAGGAGCCCCAUCUGAGCGGACUCACUGUAGGAAGCACAUGGUGUGGAAGCGGAUGUUGAAUGUGCCAAGGUCAGACCCAGGAAGAUUGAAGCUGUAUAAGCUUCUUGCCGUGGAGACAGUAUACUCAGAGAGAGGAGGCAUGUUCCCCCAGAGUCCUGACUGGCUUCGUAUUGAGUAGUUCCUGAUCAUUGCCUCGGUCACUCCGUGACAACAAGGCAUGGAAGCAUUACUCAUUCACAGAGCAAGGUAUCUCUUGGUGUGAAUAUGGGUAUUGAAAUCUGGCCCUUAGUAUCUCCAACCAGUACUCCACAUCCUACUCUCAAUCAUCUGAUGAUACAAAUGAACAAAUUCUCAUGGCUGUCAGUAAGAUGUGAAAGAGCCCAGCUGGUGGGAAAUGGGAAGGUAUCAGGUUUAUAUUACAAAGAGACUGGAGCUGUAAAAUGUAAAAUCCAGAUCCAACUCUUAGCUGUUCCAGAGUUCUUAGGUUUCCCUUCAAACACAUUAUGGAAAUAGCCUGAGUUGCUGCUACACUGUAAUCCAAACCUUCCCAAAAUGUAGGAAUGUCUUGAUUCCAGGUUGCAGUUCAUGUUCUCUCUAAUUUUAGGAGUACUGCAAUACUUCUAGAGUGCACCUAUUUUUUUUAAUUGUCAAAAAUAGGACUGCUGGUACUCUAAUACUGUUACUCAAUGAUUUCAGUCCUCCAUUAAAGAUAAUUCUGCAGGAAUUGAGAUCAGGAGAAGAAAAAAUAAAUGUGACUGUCAUAUUUUUAAAACUAAUGUUUGUCUUAAAGCCAUCUAAACUUCACAAACCACAGUCCAGGGGCUCACAAAGUCAAUAGGACUUUGCAUGGACACUGGGAGCGAUUUGCCUGCAUUGAUAAUCUUGCAGGAUUGGGACCUUAGUUACAUGCAUCAAUUUUACUCAUGUUUCAACAGAGACAAAAAAUUCUACUACUCUUCCCUGAGAUUAAACCAAGCUGUGGUGUGUUUAGGGAACUAUAGUGUAAUAAAAAGUAGGAAGAAACUUACAGAAAAUAAAUUUCACCUCAAUAGCUUAACACACUGAAUCCAAUUCUCUCCUGGUUUACAGCCUGUACAAUCUCAAUUAGGUCAUUGGAGUUGCAUGGCUGUAAACCAGGGCAGAAUUUGAUCAUGUGUGGCUCAUGCCAUAAUAUUUAUCUUUUUCUCUGCAUUUUGUCAUUCUUUCCAUGUCCCUCUCCAUCUGUUCUGUCCUUUUUGGCUAUUUUGUUUCCUUUCCUCUCUUUUGUUUGAUCUCACUUCUUGUGUCUCUUUCUCUCAUUGAACAACUACUAUAAUUUCUCCUUUUACAGACUGAUAAGGUAUCUCCUGUCUGUUUUUUUGGGGCGGGGAGGGGGAUUCUUUGAUUUCUUCCACCCCAUCUUCUCCCUUCUCCUUGAUGUGUUUUCUGCAAAUUCCAAGGCCAAGAAAAGACCCUCUGGUAAUCCAUGCAUUGUCCAUACUAGAAAAAUUAUCUGUUGCUGACAAUAGGUGCCCAUUGCUGAAACCUAUUAUUAGCAAUAGGCAAUUUUUCUUUUUCUAGAAUAGACAAGGCUCUAUUGAGUACACUGUAUUGCAUCUAAGGAUUUUUCAAGGGAGGCCCUAAUCCUGCAAUCAGCUCUGCUUGGGCAGGCCUUUUAGAGCUCAGUGCAGGAUCAGAGUCUUAAUGUAUUACAUCUUUAUGAACAAAAUAAAACUUGUGUCAGACUAGUCAAAUUUUCAAUGGCAAAAUCAUGCUGGCACAUUUUCUUUUUUUAAAUUAAAAAAAUUGCUAGCAAGUUACGUGGCUAAACUAACACAAAAGAGAUGUGGGUAUCAAAUUUCUUGCUGUAAGGUAGAAGGUAAAGCAGUUUUAUAAUGGACAUUUUGAGAAGAACAAUUAAACACAAACUUUAAAGGGACAUUGCCAACUUGAAAUCUAAUCAGUAUUUUAUUUUUAAAAAGAGAUACUCAAAUGUUCAGAUAGUACACCUGUCCCUGUAAUCACAUGCCAAAUGUUGUGGUUUGGAAUCACAUUUUUCUCUAUUUUAAAAUGUCUCUAGAUUCACAGAACGAACUGAAUAAACUCUCUAAAUAAUGGACUAUACAGGGAAACAAUGAAACUUGACUUAUACGAAGUACAGUCAAAUGCACAAAAUAAACAAAGUUCCCAAUCCUGGAAAACACUUUACUUAGGAGGAUUCUGUCCCACCCUCCAUCAACUUUAGUAAUCUCUGUGAUCUCCAAGUGCUAUGUCUGUACAAAGUUCAGUGGAGGAUCAGAUUUUAAGACAGACAACAAUAUUUUUCUCUCUAUUCAUAUUCAGUUAUGGUAAUAUUAGUUAUUUUUACCAAAAUGGGUUAAAAUAGUACAAAAGUAUGAUUUUUAAGUUGACAGUGUCUAAGUUUGGGUCUUGAUCAUGCAAAGAUUUCAUGCUUAAUUUUUAAGAAUAUAAGUAGUCCCAUUGAAUUCAAUGUCUUUGUAAGAUUGGGGCCUAAUUUGCUAUACAUACUGUGACAGGACCCCCGUGUACAUCCUGAAACUAUGGGACCACUGUGCCCCCUUCUCUCUCCAGCCUGGACUGUCUCUCACAAAGCUAUGCCAGUGACAAACAGCAAACCCCUGCAGGAGCUGUGAUCACUCAGCCACCAGCAUGUGGAGACCCACACCCUGCUAAAUAGCUCUCCAAGCCACUCAUGAAUUAUACAGAGAGAGGCACCAGCCAAUCACCCCAGCCCCCAGCUUUGCAUCCCAUUAAUAUACCAUGUUACACUGCUCCAGACUCCCUUGGACAAUACAAGCUCAUUAAUUAGUUCACCACUUCAACAAAGGGUAGUGAGCGUGCAACAGCCCUUGUUAACCUGAACUGAGAUUCACCAAGCACUUCAACAACAAACAACAUAUGUUUUAAUUAAAAUAUAAAACAUAUUUAUUGACUCCAGACAGAUAGAUUUUAAGUGAUUAUAAGUAGUAGGCAUAGAGAUCAAAGUUGGUUACAUAAGAAAAAGAAAUAAAUUUGCAGUCUAAAUUCUACAGACUAAGUAAGGUUUGACUUAAACAGCUUCUCUCACUCCAAUAGAGGUUACAGGCAGCUUACAGUUCUUAAUACACAGGCUGCAUUCCCUCUCACCUUGGACCAGUCCCCCCAGUUCAAAGUUUUUGUCUUCCAGACGGUCUUACAGCUGUUGAGGUGUGGGAGGGGAGAGGCCAAGUGAUGAUGUCACUCUCUCUCUUUUAUACUUUCUUCCAGCUGCUAGAAAAAUCCUUGCUGUGACAUGGGGUUUAAGUACCCCUCAUUGUAUACGUGCCCCCUCUGAGUUGUCUCUGGGAGAGUGGAUUUUUUUUUUAGUGGACCAUCAACACAUGUCUGGCUGGUCCU
Long non-coding RNA from Chrysemys picta bellii (western painted turtle), 3815 nucleotides. RefSeq lists it as uncharacterized. NCBI's taxonomy places the organism in Eukaryota, Metazoa, Chordata, Testudines, Emydidae. The record is from RefSeq and is a predicted model, not a curated record.